GACGAACGCUGGCGGCGUGCUUAACACAUGCAAGUCGAACGGAAAGGCCCCUUUGGGGGUACUCGAGUGGCGAACGGGUGAGUAACACGUGAGUAACCUGCCCUUGACUUCGGGAUAACUUCAGGAAACUGGGGCUAAUACCGGAUAGGAAUCCUUGCUGCAUGGUGGGGGUUGGAAAGCUUCGGCGGUUUUGGAUGGACUCGCGGCUUAUCAGCUUGUUGGUGGGGUAGUGGCUUACCAAGGCUUUGACGGGUAGCCGGCCCGAGAGGGCGACCGGCCACAUUGGGACUGAGAUACGGCCCAGACUCCUACGGGAGGCAGCAGUGGGGAAUAUUGCACAAUGGGCGGAAGCCUGAUGCAGCAACGCCGCGUGCGGGAUGACGGCCUUCGGGUUGUAAACCGAUUUCAGCAGGGGCGAAGCUUGUGGUGACGGUACCUGCAGAAGAAGCACCGGCUAACUACGUG
RNAcentral lists this ribosomal RNA (465 nucleotides) under uncultured bacterium. RNAcentral describes it as "partial 16S ribosomal RNA". It matches the Rfam family "Bacterial small subunit ribosomal RNA", at positions 28 to 507 of the family's 1533-position model. The record is from RNAcentral.